AUACCCAAUCUGCAUUUGUUAUUUUAGAAAUGAGAAAUGGUGAGAUUGUAGUAAUCAGUUCACCUGAGCUGAACAAAACACCUGAGCCAGGCAAACAAGGAGAACAUAGUGAGGAUUUCAUUAUUAAAGAAAGUGAGAAGUAUUUAUCUGAUUUAUCUCAGAUUUAUUUAUACUCAGUAAAUAGUCCUUGUUUAGGGAGAGAAAAGAGUCUGAUCCCUGUAUGUUAAGGUUAAUCACUUUUUCAGAAAAAUCAUAAUAUUGAUAUCAAUAUUGGCUUCUCAAGAUAUUAUGUCUUUAUCAGAAGCAUGCAUGUUUUAUUAAAGGACAGAAAAUAUCCUGGAAUCCUGAAAUGAAUAUAUAGUACAUGGUGAUAUAAAACAAUACAUAUAUACAUUAAUUCCGGAAAAAGAUAACGGUUCAGUAAUUGAUUAAAAAUCUUGAUAAAAAACAGACAUAUAAGCAGUGGAUCGAGACAGGAAAGAAAAUAUUAAAAGAGCUGGAAAAUUCAGCAUUAAAAAGCUGAAAGAUCUGAAUUUUAAUCAGUUGUGGAUUAAAAGAGUAGAUGAUGAUUUCAAUAGACAUGUAGUUCCACCCAUCUUAAAACAGAUCCAGGAUAUUCGUCCCAAAGUGAACCUUUUCCAGGUUGAUUUGGAAGAAAUGAAAUGUGCGAUUUCUUCUAAUAAGCAAGGCUCGAAUGCGCUUCAUUCGGCUAAUGAGGAAUAAUUGGAAUUGGAAUAAAUGAUGCUGAUUGCCACACUUUGUGAUUUGUUUGAUUUUUCUUUAAUAUUUACCACACGGUGCACUGUUUCCUAACACAAACACACACACACACACACUUAUUAUUUCAUCCAUUAGUAAUAUCUUCAUUAUUAUUACAUCAUGUAAAGUGUUUCACACCACAGAGCGGUUAAAUGCUUGAAUCUGAUUGGUCAGAUAUUUUCAGUAUAACAGUGCGGGUAAUUCCGGCUGUAACAUGAUCGACAGGUUUAUAUUAACGCUCUCGUUCUAAUACUGUACGUUAUCGUUUCUAUAGCAACGUUUCCUCUUCACAGAGCGAUAAAGGAGGUGUGAAUGCACGUACGGCUCAAAGCCACAGAAGGUGUUUAAAAGGUGAUCUUCUUGAAAGCGUCUCUGGGACGUUACCUGUGGAUGACGAAACACAGCUGUGUUCCAGAUGUUUAUAUAAUACAGUGUAGAAUAGCGUAUUUACUCAGCCAUGCAGCUGAAAUAUGACACAGAAUAUUAGACUGUUCUUUUUAGAGCCAUGUGAAUAAAUUAAUAUGUCACAAAUCUACUCUUUUUAUGAUAUUAUAAGAUAUACAGCGCCCUAUAUUAAUAUUGGCACCCUUGGUACAUAUGAGCAAGGAAGGCUGUGAAGAAUCUUCUUUAUUGUUUUAACUUUUAAUCAUUUGCGCAAAUAAUCCACAAAAAGACUCUGCUCUCAUAGAUAACAAACAAUUACAAACACAACACAGGUUUAUCAACAAAAAAACUGUUAAAUAUAGGUGUGCAACAAUUAUUGGCACCCCAUGAAUUCAUAUCAGAAAAAUAUAUUUGAAGUAUAUUUGAAAAUAAUUUUAGUACACCUGGGUGACUAGGAACAGGAAGUAGUUCAAAUAUGAGGUAACACACAUGCCAAAUCCCCUUAGUCAUUCAUACCGAUGGGUUAGAACAAGCAAAAAGUUGUUGAGCUUCACACAAUGGGGCGUGUCUAUAAGAAAAUAGCACGAGCAUUGAAAACGCCCGUUUCACCAUCAGGGCAAUAAUUAAGAAGUUCCAGUCGACUGGAAAUGUUAUGAAUCGACCUGGAAUUGGACGCGUGUCUGUAUCGUCUCAACGCACUGUGAAGAGGACGGUUCGAGUGGAUAAAACAUCUCCAAGGAUCACAGCUGGAGAACUGCAGAAGUUAGUUGUGUCUUGGGGUCAGAAAGUCUCCAAAACUACAAUCUGAAGUCACCGACAUCACCACAAGCUGUUUGGAAGGGUUUGAAGAAAAAAGCCUCUCCUCUCAUCCAAAAACACACUCGAGCGUCUUCAGUGUGCAGACAGUACUGGAACUUCAAAUGGGAUCGGGUUCUACGGUCAGAUGAAACCAGAAUAGAGCUUUUUGGUAAUAAACACAGAGAGGUAGCCGUAUGGAAAAGUACCUCAUGCCCACGGUUAAAUAUGGAGGAGGAUCUUUAAUGUUUUGGGCUGUUUUUCUGCCAGAGGACCUGGACAUUUUGUUAGGAUACACGGCAUCAUGGACUCUCAAAUAUCAACAGAUAUUAAAUGAAAACCUGACUGCCUCUGCCAGAAAGAUUCAAAUGGGCCAUGGUUGGAUCUUCCAGCAGGACAAUGAUCCAAAACAUCAUCAACAUCAACACAGAAAACGCUUUACUGACCACAAAAUCAGGGUCCUGCCCUGACCAUCCCAGUCCCCUGACCUGAACCCCAUAGAAAACCUGUGGGGUGAACUGAAAGAGGAGAGUCCACCAGCGUGGACCUGAAAUGUGAAGGAUCUGGAGAGGUUCUGUAUGGAGGAACACUCUCAGAUCCCUCACCGUGUAUUCUCCAACCUCAUCAGGCGUUAUUGGAGAAGACUCAGAGCUGUUAUCUUGACAAAGGGAGCUAGCACAAAGUAUUGACUAAAUUGAUCAUUGUUGCACAUCUAUAUUUAACAGUUGUUGUUUUUUUGUUGAUAAACCUGAGUUGUGUUUGUAAUUGUUUGAUAUCCAUGAGAGCAGAGUAUUUUUGUGAAUUUUUUUUAACAAAACAUCAAAAGGUUAAACAAUAAAGACAAUUUUUCACAGCCAUCUUUGCUCAUAUUUACCAGGGGUGCCAAUAUUAAUGGAGGGCACCGUAUAUGGACAAGCAAACACUUGAUCCUCUUUGAAUCUGUGCUUAUUAAUAAAGAUGAUACACUCAAAUGACACAUAAGAUUGACAUUAUGUAGUAAUUUUCACAAUUUAAAGUCACAUGGAAAAAAAGUAAGUACACCCCUACAUUUAUCACACCUUCAAAUCCAUAUAAUUAGACUCAGGUGCUGAAGAUCGGGUGCCUGCUUAGUGAUUAGAACCUGCCUCUGGAGCGCAGGUCUUAUUUAUACCCCUCUCAUAUCUACUGUCUGGUGUUCCCUUUGCUUUUGAGGUGUGUGAUGUCAUCAUUAAGAGACCACAUGUUCACCAGCAGUCGCUUUCUAACCGUGACAUCAUCUGAUAGAACCAUCACACACACGAGGUUUCCUCUGGGUUCUCCGGUUUCCUUCACCUCCUAAAAACAGGAUCUUUACAGGAUAUUCUCCGCGACUCUGUCCAGGAUACAGGAACAUGGACCUAAAGCACAAAAGACGAGCAUUGCAUUGAAAAGUGACGAGUGAACUGACCUGACUCGAAUCAGCACAGAUCCACAUGAAUAAAACAUCAUGUGGAGAUGAUUAUUUACAAAAGGAAACAAACUGAAAGACAGAACGGAUGUGUUUAGGUAAUAUACUGUAUAGUGUUCAUGUGGGACUGAGUGAUGUACUCAUUUCAAAUAUCUCAGGCUUUGUAUCAUCAAU
This is a long non-coding RNA of Ictalurus punctatus (channel catfish), 3538 nucleotides long. Lineage: Eukaryota; Metazoa; Chordata; Actinopteri; Siluriformes; Ictaluridae. The record is from Ensembl.